CAAAACCCUUCGAUCUGCGUCUGCGACUGCAGCAGAAUGAGUAGAGCCUGCAAGUCGUAAACUCUUUAGGUAGCUGAGUAACUUGGCCACCUGCCAUAAUGGACGCCAACAAUGACCGUUCUCUUUGUGGGCCUCCAUUCCCAAAACGAGAGGAGUUUGGAUGAGAAUAUUCCAAAACAAGCAAGGAACUAGAAAUCCGUUAAAAAAGUAAAUAUUGAAACUGGAAACGUUACAAUUUUUCACCGUUAAUCUUAGGAUAUCUACAGUACUUGUGCCUCGUUUUCUUUAAUCUACACCAUUUUUGGUUAGUUUAAGGUGAAAGUGCAUGAAAAUGGUGUCCAUAAAAAGAAGUUUUUUGAGUAAUAGAGAAAUUAACAAAAAUUUACGGAAUUUAAUGAGAAAAGAAAGAAGAGAUAAUCAAGAGGUCACUUCAAGUACGUUAAACCAUCAACUACGUGAAGCUUAAGAGACCUGACUUAAAACAUCAAGUAAAAUUCGAGAUAAUACAGAAAUCGUUCCUAUGAUGCAGCACUUGAUACUCUUGUGGUUCAAUGUUUUCUUAAAAUUGAGGGACAAAAAUCUAGCAUAAAAGCAUAAUUCAAUGAAAUAUUAGAGAAUAAAAUGUGGCGCCAACCAGGUAUCAAUCAGAACAUGCUGCGUCUCUGAUUAUUGUAUAGUGGUCUACAUUUGGCUGGAAUCGUGUUUUAAAAUCUUAUUAGCAACAGAGAAUCUUAUUAGCAAAAGCAAAAAAUCAAGAAUUAGUAUGAAAUACAUUCAGGUUAUUUAAUGUAAGUAAUCUAAACAUAAUCUGGCUCGUAGAUUUAUCUUGCGACGGAGUUAAUUGCCUGUCCGGCUGAAGCAAGCCUACGUGUCCUUGCUGAAUGGUCAACUUUGCGACUCCCUCCAGCUUUUCUAUCUUCUUGACUGUGGGUUGGGGCCUCUCAAAACGUCGAA
Molecule: long non-coding RNA, 954 nt
Organism: Copidosoma floridanum
Lineage: Eukaryota; Metazoa; Arthropoda; Insecta; Hymenoptera; Encyrtidae
Source: RefSeq, a predicted model, not a curated record